RNAcentral lists this ribosomal RNA (93 nucleotides) under uncultured fungus. RNAcentral describes it as "partial 5.8S ribosomal RNA". It matches the Rfam family "5.8S ribosomal RNA", at positions 65 to 154 of the family's 154-position model. Rfam says of the family: 5.8S ribosomal RNA (5.8S rRNA) is a component of the large subunit of the eukaryotic ribosome. It is transcribed by RNA polymerase I as part of the 45S precursor that also contains 18S and 28S rRNA. Lineage: Eukaryota; Fungi. The record is from RNAcentral.
GUGUGAAUUGGCAGAAUUCAGUGAAUCAUCGAAUCUUUGAACGCACCUUGCGCCCCUUGGCAUUCCGAGGGGCACACCCGUUUGAGUGUCGUG